Molecule: long non-coding RNA, 987 nt
Filed under: Hordeum vulgare
Lineage: Eukaryota; Viridiplantae; Streptophyta; Magnoliopsida; Poales; Poaceae
Description: long non-coding RNA (HVUL_LNC009450)
Source: RNAcentral
CCGCCGAGUCCCUACUAAAUUCGGUCGAGCCCGAGCCUCUCCCUCCCUCUAACCACCACCUCUACCUUACCCUCGUUACCGCGACCGUCCCUAGAGCCUCGGCCACUCCCCUCCGCCAUCUGGAUACCGUGCCCAGCUCCGGCCGAAGCCGGUGCCCAUCACGGUCGUCGCCUCGCUCGCCUAGGCGCUCUCCGGUGGUCGCGCUAUGGGCAGACGGAUGCGGCGCCUCGUCCUCUUCCCGUCGGUGGCCGGAGCGCCUCUGGAGAUGGCUGGAGCCGGCCGAACGAGCGCCGGCGCCGGCGCUCUGUCUCUGCACCACGGGAACCCACAGGAGGAAGAAGAAGGAGGCAGAGGAGAGAGAGAGGUCAGCAGUGCGACCCGCGUGUCAGGCUCACACCAAAGUCUACCACGGGCCCGCGUUGUUUAAGUGAAACCGUAUUUCACUGGAAUACACUUUCCGCUUCCGAAACAUAAACAACUGCUGCUACAGACUGAAGUGCGCUUUCCCUUUGCGGAAAGCGUACUUUAGCAAAUACACUUUCCCUCUCCACCGUCGGCUGAAUCUGUUAAAUUAUGAAUGUUCGCUGGUUAGGGCACUAUUUUGCCUAAAAAGUGAACGGCCAUAUCUUUUCACCCGAGACUCUGAUUCAGGUGAAACCAACGCCGACGUCUUCAGUUCAUCGAGCCCGUUACAAUGAUAUCAUUUUCAUAAUAUGGUUUCACAUUCUAAAAAUGACCAUUUUUCCCUUGCCUCCGAUCAGCCCCUCCGAGAGAGAACUAUUUCUAGCGAUCCUUUCCUCGGACUCUUUGCACUUCUUCCCGGAAUAUUCUUCGACCCCAGGCAAGCCGACCUUCUGAUAUAUGCCCUAAAGCAUUGCUCUGUGUUAUUCUUGCGUGUUUAAUUAAUGAUAUGCUUGUACUAGAAAUAAUUAAACUCCUGUCAUUUUGAUAUUAUCAUUUACAUUGCUACUGCUCAUCUUAUCAUUG